GACGAACGCUGGCGGCGUGCUUAACACAUGCAAGUCGAGCGGUAAGGCCCUUUCGGGGGUACACGAGCGGCGAACGGGUGAGUAACACGUGGGUGACCUGCCCUCCACUCUGGGAUAAGCCCGGGAAACUGGGUCUAAUACCGGAUAGGACCAUUGGAGGCAUGUCUGGUGGUGGAAAGUUUUUUCGGUGGGGGAUGGGCCCGCGGCCUAUCAGCUGGUUGGUGGGGUGAUGGCCUACCAGGGCGGUGACGGGUAGCCGGCCUGAGAGGGCGACCGGCCACACUGGGACUGAGACACGGCCCAGACUCCUACGGGAGGCAGCAGUGGGGAAUAUUGCGCAAUGGGCGGAAGCCUGACGCAGCGACGCCGCGUGGGGGAUGACGGCCUUCGGGUUGUAAACCUCUUUCGCCAGGGACGAAGCUAACGUGACGGUACCUGGAGAAGAAGCACCGGCCAACUACGUGCCAGCCGCCGCCGUAA
Molecule: ribosomal RNA, 480 nt
Filed under: uncultured bacterium
Lineage: Bacteria
Description: partial 16S ribosomal RNA
Rfam family: Bacterial small subunit ribosomal RNA
Source: RNAcentral